This 73-nucleotide transfer RNA is filed under the name Felis catus (domestic cat). It matches the Rfam family "tRNA". From Rfam's summary of the family: Transfer RNA (tRNA) molecules are approximately 80 nucleotides in length. Their secondary structure includes four short double-helical elements and three loops (D, anti-codon, and T loops). Lineage: Eukaryota; Metazoa; Chordata; Mammalia; Carnivora; Felidae. The record is from Rfam by way of RNAcentral.
GCCUGGCUGGCUCAGUUGGUAGAGCACUCAAUUCUUGAUCUUAGAGUUGUGAGUUCAAGUCCCAUGUUGGGUG